RNAcentral lists this transfer RNA (73 nucleotides) under Caudoviricetes sp. RNAcentral describes it as "tRNA-Thr". It matches the Rfam family "tRNA". From Rfam's summary of the family: Transfer RNA (tRNA) molecules are approximately 80 nucleotides in length. Their secondary structure includes four short double-helical elements and three loops (D, anti-codon, and T loops). Further hydrogen bonds mediate the characteristic L-shaped molecular structure. tRNAs have two regions of fundamental functional importance: the anti-codon, which is responsible for specific mRNA codon recognition, and the 3' end, to which the tRNAs corresponding amino acid is attached (by aminoacyl-tRNA synthetases). tRNAs cope with the degeneracy of the genetic code in two manners: having more than one tRNA (with a specific anti-codon) for a particular amino acid; and 'wobble' base-pairing, i.e. permitting non-standard base-pairing at the 3rd anti-codon position. Lineage: Duplodnaviria; Heunggongvirae; Uroviricota; Caudoviricetes. The record is from RNAcentral.
GCCGUUUUAGCUCAGAUGGAAGAGCGGCUGAUUUGUAAUCAGCGGGCCGUGGGUUCGAAUCCUGCAAACGGCA